This 498-nucleotide ribosomal RNA is filed under the name uncultured bacterium. Its description in RNAcentral is "partial 16S ribosomal RNA". It matches the Rfam family "Bacterial small subunit ribosomal RNA", at positions 30 to 523 of the family's 1533-position model. The record is from RNAcentral.
AUUGAACGCUGGCGGCAUGCCUUACACAUGCAAGUCGAACGGUAACAGGUCUUCGGAUGCUGACGAGUGGCGAACGGGUGAGUAAUACAUCGGAACGUGCCUAGUAGUGGGGGAUAACUACUCGAAAGAGUGGCUAAUACCGCAUGAGAUCUACGGAUGAAAGCAGGGGAUCGCAAGACCUUGUGCUACUAGAGCGGCCGAUGGCAGAUUAGGUAGUUGGUGGGAUAAAAGCUUACCAAGCCGACGAUCUGUAGCUGGUCUGAGAGGGCGAUCAGCCACACUGGGACUGAGACACGGCGCAGAAUACUACGGGAGGCAGCAGUGGGGAAUUUUGGACAAUGGGCGCAAGCCUGAUCCAGCAAUGCCGCGUGCAGGAUGAAGGCCUUCGGGUUGUAAACUGCUUUUGUACGGAACGAAAAGCCCCGGGUUAAUACCCUGGGGUCAUGACGGUACCGUAAGAAUAAGCACCGGCUAACUACGUGCCAGCAGCCGCCGUAA